GAUGAACGCUGACGGCGUGCCUAAUACAUGCAAGUCGAGCGAACAGACGAGGAGCUUGCUCCUCUGACGUUAGCGGCGGACGGGUGAGUAACACGUGGAUAACCUACCUAUAAGACUGGGAUAACUUCGGGAAACCGGAGCUAAUACCGGAUAAUAUAUUGAACCGCAUGGUUCAAUAGUGAAAGACGGUUUUGCUGUCACUUAUAGAUGGAUCCGCGCCGCAUUAGCUAGUUGGUAAGGUAACGGCUUACCAAGGCAACGAUGCGUAGCCGACCUGAGAGGGUGAUCGGCCACACUGGAACUGAGACACGGUCCAGACUCCUACGGGAGGCAGCAGUAGGGAAUCUUCCGCAAUGGGCGAAAGCCUGACGGAGCAACGCCGCGUGAGUGAUGAAGGUCUUCGGAUCGUAAAACUCUGUUAUUAGGGAAGAACAAAUGUGUAAGUAACUAUGCACGUCUUGACGGUACCUAAUCAGAAAGCCGCGGCUAACUACGUG
Molecule: ribosomal RNA, 497 nt
Filed under: uncultured bacterium
Lineage: Bacteria
Description: partial 16S ribosomal RNA
Rfam family: Bacterial small subunit ribosomal RNA
Source: RNAcentral